UUUCCUUACUCGCCGAACUCAUCCCGAGCCUUCACAUGCUGGCCGCCCUUCCCCCUUCCUCUCUUCGUUUCUCCUCCAUGUCUUCCCCAUUGACGGCGCCGCACCGCGUCAUUUCUUCUUCUUCCUCGCGGAUAAAGCAGUGGCCAAGGAGGAAAUCGGGGCACAUCUUCUCUCCCUUUCUUCUCCCUCAUGCCGAUUCCUCUCCAUCUUCUUCGAUCUUCGUCUAUUGUCCCCGCGGAGCGCCGAUCGCCGAUGUUGAUCCCCCUUCUCCGGCCAUGAGUGAGAAGCUAACUCUCUCUCCCAGCCUUCUCGUGCCAUCAUUCGUCGACGCGCGACCUAAUUCUAGCUGAGCAUCCGCGUUCUUUUGGGUUGUUCCCUAGCUCCCAAUCUCGCCGGUCAAGUUUCUCAUCACCUCUGUUGCCUUGAUCCGCUGGAUAUCGCUACUUUCUGUCGCUAUUGAGCAGCACCGGCGAUUCCUUGGAUUUCUAAUCAGAGCGGUGAGUCCUUGGAUUCCUUAUCUCCACCGCAGGGUUUCCUUCGCUGGAAUUGUAUCGUGGUCAUCGACUUUGACUCUCGGUCGCUGUUGGAGCUUUUUUUGCUGUCAGCGAUCACACUCAGCUUCGAUGCUACUGUUCGCCAUCGAUUCAGAGCGUCGACCAUUAUCACCAGCUGUGCACCAUCUCCGGUUGUGGGACACUAGCGAUCACCUUAAAGAUUAGGACUCUGUUGAGACGACAUCACGACGAGGGACCUAUUUCGGAUACGAUUUUCAUUUUGAGACGGGAGGUCCUGGUGAGUACAGAUUCUCCCAUUCCUUUCAGUUUAGCAUUUUUCAUUAUUAUUCCAGGAGACUGUACGUAUAAUUGAUACUAUUGGUUAUUUCUUACUAUGCAUGUCAGCUUAGUAUCCGCUGAGUGUUGGACUCACCCCGUUGAUUAUUAUUAUUUUCAGGUUGAUGCUGUCAGGAGGUUCCAGUCGCUAGUCCCCCACCACUUGUCGUAACGGGUUCACGUAUUUUGGGGUUUCUUUGGUUUACUUGUUACAUUUUAUAUACUUGUGAUGUAUAACUGUACUCGUGGAUGUUUAUCGAGUUUUGGUCUACUGCCUUUAUUUUCCGCUACGUUGGAUUUUGUUGUGGGUUUAAGUUUUCCCUCGAGUAGUGGUAUAGGUUUAUUAAACUGUGUGGUUGUGAAUUUUUGUGUAGUCAGUCGGAGGCUGAAUUAUAUAAACUGCGUGAAUUGUUAGUUAUUCUUA
Zingiber officinale is the source of this 1254-nucleotide long non-coding RNA. RefSeq lists it as uncharacterized. The transcript has 4 exons. Lineage: Eukaryota; Viridiplantae; Streptophyta; Magnoliopsida; Zingiberales; Zingiberaceae. The record is from RefSeq and is a predicted model, not a curated record.